This 468-nucleotide ribosomal RNA is filed under the name uncultured bacterium. RNAcentral's name for it is "partial 16S ribosomal RNA". It matches the Rfam family "Bacterial small subunit ribosomal RNA", at positions 28 to 507 of the family's 1533-position model. The record is from RNAcentral.
GACGAACGCUGGCGGCGUGCUUAACACAUGCAAGUCGAACGGAAAGGCCCUGCUUUUGUGGGGUGCUCGAGUGGCGAACGGGUGAGUAACACGUGAGUAACCUGCCCUUGACUUUGGGAUAACUUCAGGAAACUGGGGCUAAUACCGGAUAGGAGCUCCUGCUGCAUGGUGGGGGUUGGAAAGUUUCGGCGGUUGGGGAUGGACUCGCGGCUUAUCAGCUUGUUGGUGGGGUAGUGGCUUACCAAGGCUUUGACGGGUAGCCGGCCUGAGAGGGUGACCGGCCACAUUGGGACUGAGAUACGGCACAGACUCCUACGGGAGGCAGCAGUGGGGAAUAUUGCACAAUGGGCGGAAGCCUGAUGCAGCAACGCCGCGUGCGGGAUGACGGCCUUCGGGUUGUAAACCGCUUUCGCCUGUGACGAAGCGUGAGUGACGGUAAUGGGUAAAGAAGCACCGGCUAACUCCGUG